Molecule: ribosomal RNA, 254 nt
Filed under: uncultured bacterium
Lineage: Bacteria
Description: partial 16S ribosomal RNA
Rfam family: Bacterial small subunit ribosomal RNA
Source: RNAcentral
CACGUAGGGGGCGAGCGUUGUCCGGAUUUAUUGGGCGUAAAGAGCUCGUAGGCGGCUCGGUAAGUCAGGUGUGAAAACUCUAGGCUCAACCUAGAGACGCCACCUGAUACUGCCGUGGCUAGAGUCCGGUAGGGGAGCAUGGAAUUCCUGGUGUAGCGGUGAAAUGCGCAGAUAUCAGGAGGAACACCAGUGGCGAAGGCGGUGCUCUGGGCCGGAACUGACGCUGAGGAGCGAAAGCCAGGGGAGCAAACGGG